GAUCCUGGCUCAGGACGAACGCUGGCGGCGCGCCUAACACAUGCAAGUCGAACGAGCGAGAGAGAGCUUGCUUUCUCGAGCGAGUGGCGAACGGGUGAGUAACGCGUGAGGAACCUGCCUCAAAGAGGGGGACAACAGUUGGAAACGACUGCUAAUACCGCAUAAGCCCACGGUGCCGCAUGGCACAGAGGGAAAAGGAGCAAUCCGCUUUGAGAUGGCCUCGCGUCCGAUUAG
Molecule: ribosomal RNA, 234 nt
Filed under: uncultured bacterium
Lineage: Bacteria
Description: partial 16S ribosomal RNA
Rfam family: Bacterial small subunit ribosomal RNA
Source: RNAcentral